This 468-nucleotide ribosomal RNA is filed under the name uncultured bacterium. RNAcentral describes it as "partial 16S ribosomal RNA". It matches the Rfam family "Bacterial small subunit ribosomal RNA", at positions 28 to 507 of the family's 1533-position model. The record is from RNAcentral.
GACGAACGCUGGCGGCGUGCUUAACACAUGCAAGUCGAACGGAAAGGCCCUGCUUUUGUGGGGUGCUCGAGUGGCGAACGGGUGAGUAACACGUGAGUAACCUGCCCGUGACUUUGGGAUAACUUCAGGAAACUGGGGCUAAUACCGGAUAGGAGCUCCUGCUGCAUGGUGGGGGUUGGAAAGUUUCGGCGGUUGGGGAUGGACUCGCGGCUUAUCAGCUUGUUGGUGGGGUAGUGGCUUACCAAGGCUUUGACGGGUAGCCGGCCUGAGAGGGUGACCGGCCACAUUGCGACUGAGCUACGGCCCAGACUACUACGGGAGGCAACGGUGGAGAGUAUUGCACAAUGGGCGGAAGCCUGAUGCAGCAACGCCGCGUGCGGGAUGACGGCCUUCGGGUUGUAAACCGCUUUCGCCUGUGACGAAGCGUGAGUGACGGUACUGGGUAAAGAAGCACCGGCUAACUACGUG